AUUGACUAUUGGAUUGUCAAAUCUCAUGGUCAGGAUUUGGUCUGGAUUUUGUAUUGAGAUCAAGUUUUGUAUUGAUCAUUUUCCUAUAUAUAUAUAUAUUAUACAUACAUCUCUUCCCACCAUCUUCUCCAUUAAUUCCAAAUCUGAGAAGAGAAGCACAACGAAAAUAGUUCCAGCAAUUGCAAAUUAUCAUAUCCAAUUGAAGAUCGAAAAGGGUAAAUUUGUGCACGUCGAUUGCUGUGAGAACGAAAAGUGAUUGAGGAGUUAAGCGUUUGAGGUUGAGAGUGACGGGUGCGGUGGGUGUUGAGCAAGACC
This is a long non-coding RNA of Salvia splendens (bonfire salvia), 315 nucleotides long. RefSeq lists it as uncharacterized. The record is from RefSeq and is a predicted model, not a curated record. NCBI's taxonomy places the organism in Eukaryota, Viridiplantae, Streptophyta, Magnoliopsida, Lamiales, Lamiaceae. The transcript has 3 exons.